UGCUCCUCUUUCCUCGACCAAGGUCAUUCCAGAUUUGAGCGACCCCGGAGGAAGCCUUACCUCUUGAGCCGGGACCAGCCGUCUCUUGUCCUAGAGACAGAGGGGAGCCACCUCACGGAACCUGGAGGAGAGCACGCCCUGAAUCUGGCGAUGGUGGAGCACCGUCUGGAGAUCCUGACCCUGGGAGUAGACGGACUCGGCCCCGAAACUCUGGCUCUGCGGUUCGGGCCCCCAGGGGACGCCCUGUACAAAGGGGCAUGUCGCACUCAGUCAGCAGCUCCCGAGAGCACGAGAUUCUACCCAGACACGAAGUCCUGACAUCACGACCACCACCCAGGCACUCAGCUUCAUGAAGGACCCCACUCCAGCCUGCCAAGUCAGAGGGGAUGCCGAGGAAGAUCUAGGUAUCACGCAGGACCUGAGGCGAAAAUAGGAAGAGGUGUCACACGUCCAGACAAGCGUCGCAGACGGGACCUCCAGGGCCUCGGGUGUCCCAGCAGCUGGUUGAACUGGGGAAGGUGGUCUAGUUCAUGAGGGGCGGGGCCCGAGCGCGAGGGGAGGAGCCGAGAGCAGACCCCCCUGCACGAUGGUAGGGUGGGAGGAGGUGCAAGUGGACGAAACUUACACCAAGGGGCGGGGCUACACUGUGGGGCGGGGCCGGGGCCUACCAAUCGAGUUGCUAAGGAAGCCUGGUCAGUUGGCAGGGAGGCGGGGCCAGCUGGUGGGCUGAGGCUCCUCCACUCGCGAAUGUACCUGCAGGAUACCGGGCGGAGGUGCCCGGAGGAAGAACGUGGCAUGAAGACCUGCAGACGAAACCGGGCUUGAUGGCACGAACAGCCUCAGCUACUGAGGAGGCUGAGGCCGGAGGAUCACCAGAACCAAGAGUUCGAGGCCAGCCUGGGUAACAUGGAGAGACCUGCCUCUUAAAUUAAAAAAAAAAAAAAAGAAAGAAAGAAAGAAAACUGGACAAACAAGUUGGCUCAGAACCAGGACGCCAAACUCAGGCCUGGGCACUUGUCUUGUUUUCCUUCUUCUUCUCCUAGUGUGUGUGUGUGUGUGUGUGUGUGUGUAUGUGUGUGUGUGGUGUGGUGGUGGUGGUAUUAGGGAUCAACCCAGGGUUGCUCCCAUCCCCAGCCCCUUUUUUUUUAAUUUAUUCUGAGGCAGGGUCUUGCCAAAUUGCCCAGACUGGCCUCAAGCUUGCCAUCCUCCUGGCUCAGCCUCCUCAUCCUAAGUAGCCUUUAGGACACUACUGGCUCAUGGCCAUGGGCAUAGGGGUUGGCUCCCAAAUGUGAAAAGAAUGCCUAUGACAUCCUUGAGUCUUUUUUUUCCCUCAGUAUUGGGGGUUGAACCCAAGGAUGCUCUAUCACCAUUGAGCUAUAUCCCAACCCUGUUUAUUUUAUUUUUGAGAUAGGGUUUCUCUAAAUUGCAAGAGCUGGCUUUGAACUUGUGAUCUUCCUGCCUCAGUCUCCCAAGUCACUGGGAUUACAGGCAUGUGCUACCACACUGGACAUCCUUGGGACUGUAUUAGCACCCAAUGGCCUCCCAAUAAGUUCUUUAGCCUGAUAUCCACAGUUCCCCUGCCAGACCUUCCAAACUCAGCUCCUGCAUCAACCUCUCCUCCUUUCCCAUGAUGCCUAGCCAUGCUAGCCUUCACUGCUUAGGACCUGCCCUAGCACAGCCUCUCUACCACUCUUUCCCCUGCUGAAAUGCUCUUGUCUCAGCAAAACAUAUAUUCCCACCACCUGUUUCCAUAUGGGAAAGCUGUGUUGUAGCAACCAACCUGGCCUUUCACCUAUGUCUUAAGCUAUGUUUUACAAACUAGUAUAUCAGUAAUUGUAGCAAAUCGUAUUUUCUUUCCUUUCCUUUUUUUUUGGGGGGGGCAUGCUAGGGAUCCCUUUUUUGGGGGGAGGAUGCUGGGAAUCCAACUCAAGGUCUCACACACAGGCACACUAGGCGAGCACCCUACCGCUGAGCUAUAUCCCCAGCUCAGCAAAUCGUAUUUUUCAACAAAGAUAUCCUUUCCUGGGUGUGGUGGCACAUGCCUGUAAUCCCAUUUACUCAGGGGACUGAGACAGUAAAAUCUCUAAUUGGAGGUCAGCAUAGGCCAUUUAGCAAAGACUCUUCCUUAACAUAUUAAUUAAUUAAUUAAUUUAGAAAAGGUGGGAGGAUGCAGUUCAGUGGUAGAGUGUUUGUUUAGAAAGCACAAAGUCCUGAGUUUGUUCCAACACCUAUAAUAAGUAAGUAAUAAAUAACUUUAAAAAUGUCUCCAAUUCCACAUGCUCAUUUUACAAUGUGACCUUGACACUUUUGCUAUCAAGUGAUGGGGUCUGUGUUCCCCUUCUUUGAACCUGGGUCUAUCUUUGUGAUAGUAAAAUAGGGUGGAAGUAAAACUGUGUGACCUCUGAAACUGGGUCAUAAAAAUACCAGGUGCUCUCUUGGGACACACUUGGAAUCCAGCUUUUGCUGUGAGGAAGUCACACUAGUUCAUGUGGAGAGACCUGGGGAGGUCACGAGUAGGUGUCUUGACAGGCACCCAGCUGAGGGGCCAGUCUACCGCCAGCACCAACUUACAGACACAUACAUUGCUGUGAUUUGAAUGUGCCUCCCCAAAAGCAUGUGUUAGAAACAAUCCCCAAAGCAGUGGGAAGAAGAGCCCCAUGAGAGGUGGGUAGGCCACGAGGGCCGAGUCAAUGAGCUAGGGAGUGGGGUUCUUACAAAAGGAAAGUUUCUUCCUCUCAUGCUCCUUCUUGCCCGCUUUGCCUUUCUGUCUCCUACCAUGGGAUGAGGCAGAAAAAGGCCCUCAGCAGAUCCUAGUCUUUCCCAUUUGGACUUUCUGGCCUAUAGACUGUGAGCCAAUAAAUUGUCAUUUCUUAUAAAUCAUCCAGCCUGUGGUAUUUUAUUAGAGCAGCACAAAGUGGACUAAGACAUACAUCUUGAGAUGAUUCCAGACCCAGGCCCUCAAGUCCUUCCUAGCCAUCUGGUCUUUCCAGCUGAUGCCCCACACAUCAUGGAGCAGAGACAAGCCAUCCCUGUUGUGCCCUUUCUGAAUCUCUGACCACAGAAUCCAUAGGCAUCAAAGUUGUUUUAUACACAGUUUACAGGAGGUUUCUCAUGCACCAUAGUAACUAGAACAGUAAGUUGUUCUGAUUUCAG
RNAcentral lists this long non-coding RNA (3153 nucleotides) under Ictidomys tridecemlineatus (thirteen-lined ground squirrel). RNAcentral's name for it is "lncRNA (ENSSTOG00000034096.1)". Lineage: Eukaryota; Metazoa; Chordata; Mammalia; Rodentia; Sciuridae. The record is from RNAcentral.